This 464-nucleotide ribosomal RNA is filed under the name uncultured bacterium. RNAcentral's name for it is "partial 16S ribosomal RNA". It matches the Rfam family "Bacterial small subunit ribosomal RNA", at positions 339 to 795 of the family's 1533-position model. The record is from RNAcentral.
CUACGGGGGGCUGCAGUGGGGAAUAUUGCACAAUGGGCGCAAGCCUGAUGCAGCCAUGCCGCGUGUAUGAAGGAGGCCUUCGGGUUGUAAAGUACUUUCAGCGGGGAGGAAGGGAGUAAAGUUAAUACCUUUGCUCAUUGACGUUACCCGCAGAAGAAGCACCGGCUAACUCCGUGCCAGCAGCCGCGGUAAUACGGAGGGUGCAAGCGUUAAUCGGAAUUACUGGGCGUAAAGCGCACGCAGGCGGUUUGUUAAGUCAGAUGUGAAAUCCCCGGGCUCAACCUGGGAACUGCAUCUGAUACUGGCAAGCUUGAGUCUCGUAGAGGGGGGUAGAAUUCCAGGUGUAGCGGUGACAUGCGUAGAGAUCUGGAGGAAUACCGGUGGCGAAGGCGGCCCCCUGGACGAAGACUGACGCUCAGGUGCGAAAGCGUGGGGAGCAAACAGGAUUAGAUACCCCGGUAGUC